Pantherophis guttatus is the source of this 1838-nucleotide RNA transcript. It is a transcript of the gene named IQ motif containing K, with no coding region annotated. Lineage: Eukaryota; Metazoa; Chordata; Lepidosauria; Squamata; Colubridae. The record is from RefSeq and is a predicted model, not a curated record.
GCGCCCUUCCAAUGGCUGCCGCCGCUGAGGAGGCUCCGCUGCGGAGCCUCUGGGAGGAAAUUUGCGCAGAAUUUGAAGCCCAACAGCCUGUUCAUCCGGAUCAUUUGGAAAAGAAAGAGAUUCCACCUCCACCUCCACCUUCACAGCAGGUUCUCCCCGACGCCGAGCCGCUGCCAGAGCUGAGUGGGGGUGAGAGCAAGCCUGUGAUCGCUGAGGAAGAGCCUCCCCAGAAGACCCUGUCUCUCCUUUCUGCACUGAUAGCUCCUGAGCUCCCCGAUCUAAAAACAUGUGCUCCCAGGGAAUUUUUGGAAUGCUACAUUUUUCCAGUGCUUCUUCCCGGCAUGGUAGAACUCUUACACGAAGCCAAGAAGCAAAGAUGUUUUGAGAGGAAGCAGACACGAUUUAUCGCCCUUGAUUUCCUGACGGAGUGGUUAUACAACCACAACGCAAAGAGGCAAGAGGAACCCUUCGUGGAAUUUUUCGAGAUCCCGUUCGUGAAGGAUUGGCUGAAGGAUCAUCCUAGGCCUCCCAUUCCUCUGUCUCUGCUGCUCACCGAGAAAGCGGCCGGCCACAUCAUCCAAACCUUCUGGAAAGGUUAUCGGGUCCGUUGUGAUCCUGAAGUUCAAGAAUUACGCCAGUGGCAAAAACAUUUGAGGGAGACAAAGAACAUUAACAAACGCGUACGAGAAUUCUGGGCCAAUCAGGAGAAGAAAGUGGGAACCAAACUGGAAGACUCUGAGGAGCCCAGUCCAAGUCUCUCAAAAACUGCAAUGGCGGAUAAGUCGAAGACACCUGAGGUCAAAGGAAAGAUUAGCAACGACCAGCUAAGCAGCUCCAAGCUUGCAGAGAAUUCAUGCCAGGGUGCCUCAGAGUGAUCACUUCUAACAGAAUCACAGUGUCAUCGUAGAAACACUUGGAAAGGCGAAGAAGCUAAGAUGCUAAUAAGAGGCGUUUCGACUCGAAGAAUCAUGAUUCAAGGUGAACAAGACGCUGACAUUAAUCCCGAAGUCCCUCCGCGGUGUUCUCCAAGUUCAUAAGGGAUCUUCGCCACCUGAGGCUAGGUCGAUCUCCACUUCUUCAGCCAGGACAUACCACAGAUGGGGUGCCCCAGGAGAUGCAGGUGUUGUAGACGUCGACACUUAGCCUGUCUUGGAAACACUCGAUAAAAGCAAGUUAAUCAAUCAGUCAAAUUCUUGGGUGUAGGCAGCCACAGGUCUCCGGCUCUGGCUGAUAGUCUUUAUUCGCAUUCUGGCUUUGCGAUCGGUGAGUGGAUCUUCAAAUUUCUUUUGGAGCACUGCCAUGAAAGUUGAAGUUGCGCAGCUCCAGGGCAUCAUCAUUAUCUAUUCUGUCCACCCUCCCCCCCCAGCACAGCUUCCCUCCACCUGCAGAGCUUCCCCAAUUUCCUCUAUCCCCCCUGCACUCUGUUUAUGGCAAGAUGCCAGCAAGCAUAGUGAAGCAUAGCAAAAAUGGCAGAGCUGACAGUUAUCAUAGGGCCUGAAUUUUGCUCUAUUGAGAUUUACUCUGAUGGGUAUUACUUGUUCUUUGCUAUUUUUUUUUUUAAUUUCCUGUCUCUUUCUGGUUUUGUUUUGGUUUUUGUGUUAUCACUACAUUUUAUAUUUGGUUAUUGUCUUUUCUUAUCCCUUCUUUGUAAAUUAGAAAGUAAAACCAAUUGAUAAAUAAACCAGAUGCCUAGAAAUGUUAUACUGCUGAUGCCUGCUUUUGGGGGGGGGGGUCUGCGCAUGUGCUAAUCUCAGCAAUAUGCUUUAUAGCAUGGGGGUGUUCACUCGAGUUUGUUGCUUUUGGGUCUACAUAUAAAAAAUAAAUGUGAUUUGUCCUUA